CUCGAUGAGUAGGGCGGGACACGUGGUAUCCUGUCUGAAUAUGGGGGGACCAUCCUCCAAGGCUAAAUACUCCUGACUGACCGAUAGUGAACCAGUACCGUGAGGGAAAGGCGAAAAGAACCCCGGCGAGGGGAGUGAAAAAGAACCUGAAACCGUGUACGUACAAGCAGUGGGAGCACGCUUAGGCGUGUGACUGCGUACCUUUUGUAUAAUGGGUCAGCGACUUAUAUUCUGUAGCAAGGUUAACCGAAUAGGGGAGCCGAAGGGAAACCGAGUCUUAACUGGGCGUUAAGUUGCAGGGUAUAGACCCGAAACCCGGUGAUCUAGCCAUGGGCAGGUUGAAGGUUGGGUAACACUAACUGGAGGACCGAACCGACUAAUGUUGAAAAAUUAGCGGAUGACUUGUGGCUGGGGGUGAAAGGCCAAUCAAACCGGGAGAUAGCUGGUUCUCCCCGAAAGCUAUUUAGGUAGCGCCUCGUGAAUUCAUCUCCGGGGGUAGAGCACUGUUUCGGCAAGGGGGUCAUCCCGACUUACCAACCCGAUGCAAACUGCGAAUACCGGAGAAUGUUAUCACGGGAGACACACGGCGGGUGCUAACGUCCGUCGUGAAGAGGGAAACAACCCAGACCGCCAGCUAAGGUCCCAAAGUCAUGGUUAAGUGGGAAACGAUGUGGGAAGGCCCAGACAGCCAGGAUGUUGGCUUAGAAGCAGCCAUCAUUUAAAGAAAGCGUAAUAGCUCACUGGUCGAGUCGGCCUGCGCGGAAGAUGUAACGGGGCUAAACCAUGCACCGAAGCUGCGGCAGCGACACUGUGUGUUGUUGGGUAGGGGAGCGUUCUGUAAGCCUGUGAAGGUGUACUGUGAGGUAUGCUGGAGGUAUCAGAAGUGCGAAUGCUGACAUAAGUAACGAUAAAGCGGGUGAAAAGCCCGCUCGCCGGAAGACCAAGGGUUCCUGUCCAACGUUAAUCGGGGCAGGGUGAGUCGACCCCUAAGGCGAGGCCGAAAGGCGUAGUCGAUGGGAAACAGGUUAAUAUUCCUGUACUUGGUGUUACUGCGAAGGGGGGACGGAGAAGGCUAUGUUGGCCGGGCGACGGUUGUCCCGGUUUAAGCGUGUAGGCUGGUUUUCCAGGCAAAUCCGGAAAAUCAAGGCUGAGGCGUGAUGACGAGGCACUACGGUGCUGAAGCAACAAAUGCCCUGCUUCCAGGAAAAGCCUCUAAGCAUCAGGUAACAUCAAAUCGUACCCCAAACCGACACAGGUGGUCAGGUAGAGAAUACCAAGGCGCUUGAGAGAACUCGGGUGAAGGAACUAGGCAAAAUGGUGCCGUAACU
This 1328-nucleotide ribosomal RNA is filed under the name Escherichia coli. RNAcentral's name for it is "partial 23S ribosomal RNA". It matches the Rfam family "Bacterial large subunit ribosomal RNA", at positions 404 to 1735 of the family's 2925-position model. Lineage: Bacteria; Pseudomonadati; Pseudomonadota; Gammaproteobacteria; Enterobacterales; Enterobacteriaceae. The record is from RNAcentral.